AGGUAAAGAUGGAAGGAUUUUGAAAGAAGAUGUUUUAGAUUAUGCCAACACCAAGGGAAAUCACGAAGCACCUUCUAUUUCAUACACUAGCGAUGAUGAAUCAAUGUUGCUGAAAGAAACUGAAGUGUCACAUCGAAACACUGUAGAAGAAAGUUGCUAUGCUGAUAAGGCGAUCCCUCUCAGGGGAUUCCAUAGAUCGAUGGUUAAGUCAAUGACCAUGGCUGCGAAAAUUCCACAUUUUCAUUAUCUAGAAGAGAUAAAUUGUGACGCCCUCAUUGAACUUAAACUUGCUUUCCAGAAAGAGAAUUCAGAUCAGAAUGUCAAACACACUUUUCUGCCCUUCCUCGUAAAGUCCCUGUCAAUGGCCUUGAGUAAAUAUCCUCUAUUAAAUAGCUCCUUCAACGAAGAGUCCUAUGAAGUCAUCCUCAAAGGACUCCAUAAUAUUGGUGUUGCCAUGGCUACUCCUAAUGGCUUAGUUGUACCAAACAUAAAGAAGG
RNAcentral lists this unclassified non-coding RNA (497 nucleotides) under Hevea brasiliensis (rubber tree). Lineage: Eukaryota; Viridiplantae; Streptophyta; Magnoliopsida; Malpighiales; Euphorbiaceae. The record is from RNAcentral.